Molecule: ribosomal RNA, 460 nt
Filed under: uncultured bacterium
Lineage: Bacteria
Description: partial 16S ribosomal RNA
Rfam family: Bacterial small subunit ribosomal RNA
Source: RNAcentral
CCUACGGGAGGCAGCAGUGGGGAAUAUUCGUCAAUGGACGAGAGUCUGAACCAGCCAAGUAGCGUGAAGGAUGACUGCCCUAUGGGUUGUAAACUUCGUUUAUAAAGGAAUAAAACGAGGCACGUGUGCCUUUUUGCAUGUACUUUAUGAAUAAGGAUCGGCUAACCCCGUGCCAGCAGCCGCGGUAAUACGGAGGAUCCGAGCGUUAUCCGGAUUGAUUGGGUUUAAAGGGAGCGUAGAUGGGUUUUUAAGUCAGUUGUGAAAGUUUGCGGCUCAACCGUAAAAUUGCAAUUGAUACUGGCAGUCUUGAGUACAGUUGAGGUAGGCGGAAUUCGUGGUGUAGCGGUGAAAUGCUUAGAGAUCACGAAGAACCCCGAUUGCGAAGGCAGCUUACUAAACUGUGACUGACAUUGAUGCUCGAAAGUGUGGGUAUCAAACAGGAUUAGAUACCCUAGUAGUC